CCUACGGGUGGCAGCAGUGAGGAAUAUUGGUCAAUGGGCGCGAGCCUGAACCAGCCAAGCAGCGUGAAGGAUGACUGCCCUACGGGUUGUAAACUUCUUUUAUAAAGGAGUAAAGUGAGGCACGUGUACCUUUCUGAAUGUACCUUACGAAUAAGGAUCGGCUAACUCCGUGCCAGCAGCCGCGGUAAUACGGAGGAUUCGAGCGUUAUCCGGAUUUAUUGGGUUUAAAGGGAGCGUAGAUGGGUUGUUAAGUUAGUUGUGAAAGUGUGCGGCUCAACCUUAAAAUUGCAAUUGAUACUGGCCGCCUUGAGUGCAGUUGAGGUAGGCGGAAUGCGUGGUGUAGCGGUGAAAUGCUUAGAGAUCAUGAAGAACUCCGAUUGCGAAGGCAGCUUACUAAGCUGCCACUGACGUUGAGGCUCGAAAGUGUGGGGAUCAAACAGGAUUAGAUACCCUAGUAGUC
This 460-nucleotide ribosomal RNA is filed under the name uncultured bacterium. RNAcentral describes it as "partial 16S ribosomal RNA". It matches the Rfam family "Bacterial small subunit ribosomal RNA", at positions 338 to 795 of the family's 1533-position model. The record is from RNAcentral.